This 69-nucleotide transfer RNA is filed under the name Tetrix japonica. Its description in RNAcentral is "tRNA-Ser". RNAcentral also lists the same sequence under 1 other name. The record is from RNAcentral. Lineage: Eukaryota; Metazoa; Arthropoda; Insecta; Orthoptera; Tetrigidae.
AGAAAUAUAAGAUGUAUACUAAAGCUGCUAACUUUAAGUAAUAGCGGUUAAAUUCCGUUAAUAUUUCUA